AUGGUGCCUGAAGGUUGCAUGGAAUUUGACAAUGAAGAUAAAGCAUAUGAAUUCUAUAACAGGUAUGCUGGACACAUGGGCUUUAGUGUUGGUAAGAGUUCAUCGGACAAAUCAGCUGACAACAUCACAAGAUCAAGAACUUUUGUAUGCUCGAGGGAGGGUUUCCGUAAGGACAAGAAAGGAGCUAAUGAAGUUAAAAGACCACGGCCAGAAACAAGAAUAGGGUGCCCCGCACGGAUGAUUAUUAGGAUUACAUGCUAUAAUAAAUAUCGCAUUGCUGAAUUUGUAGCAGACCAUAACCAUCAGCCAGCACCUCUCAUCAACCAUGCAUUGCUUGGAGCGGCCGCCGGAAGGGACGGCGGGAGUAGGGAUUCAGGGAGAUUCGCGGCGGGAGCACCUGGAGAGCGAGACGUCGGAGAGGGAGGUGGUGGAGAGGCGGUUGCGCUCCUUCUGCAGCGCGAGCUCGGUGAGGCGGAAGCCCUUGCGGUGCAGGUACUGCUGCACCUUCCUCUCCAUCUCCUCGUCCUCCAUCGCUGGCUCGCUCGCUCGCCGGCCGGCUGCCGCGCCGGGGAGGGAGGGAGGGCGCCCUAG
RNAcentral lists this ribosomal RNA (591 nucleotides) under Triticum aestivum (bread wheat). Its description in RNAcentral is "partial small subunit ribosomal RNA". Lineage: Eukaryota; Viridiplantae; Streptophyta; Magnoliopsida; Poales; Poaceae. The record is from RNAcentral.